GACGAACGCUGGCGGCGUGCUUAACACAUGCAAGUCGAACGGUAAGGCCCUUCGGGGUACACGAGUGGCGAACGGGUGAGUAACACGUGGGUGAUCUGCCCUGCACUUCGGGAUAAGCCUGGGAAACUGGGUCUAAUACCGGAUAGGACCACUGCCUGCAUGGGUGGUGGUGGAAAGCUUUUGCGGUGUGGGAUGGGCCCGCGGCCUAUCAGCUUGUUGGUGGGGUGAUGGCCUACCAAGGCGACGACGGGUAGCCGGCCUGAGAGGGGGACCGGCCACGCUGGGACUGGGAUACGGCCCAGAGUCAGACGGGAGGCAGCAGUGGGGAAUAUUGCACAAUGGGCGCAAGCCUGAUGCAGCGACGCCGCGUGAGGGAUGACGGCCUUCGGGUUGUAAACCUCUUUCAGCACCGACGAAGCGCAAGUGACGGUAGGUGCAGAAGAAGGACCGGCCAACUAGGUGCCAGCCGCCGCGGUAA
RNAcentral lists this ribosomal RNA (478 nucleotides) under uncultured bacterium. RNAcentral's name for it is "partial 16S ribosomal RNA". It matches the Rfam family "Bacterial small subunit ribosomal RNA", at positions 28 to 523 of the family's 1533-position model. The record is from RNAcentral.